GAUGAACGCUGGCGGCGUGCCUAAUACAUGCAAGUCGAGCGAACGGACGAGAAGCUUGCUUCUCUGAUGUUAGCGGCGGACGGGUGAGUAACACGUGGAUAACCUACCUAUAAGACUGGGAUAACUUCGGGAAACCGUAGCUAAUACCGGAUAAUAUUUUGAACCGCAUGGUUCAAAAGUGAAAGACGGUCUUGCUGUCACUUAUAGAUGGAUCCGCGCUGCAUUAGCUAGUUGGUAAGGUAACGGCUUACCAAGGCAACGAUGCAUAGCCGACCUGAGAGGUUGAUCGGCCAAACUGGAACUGAGAACCGGUCCAAACUCCUAGGGGAGGCAGCAGUAGGGAAUUUCCCGCAAUAGGCGAAAGCCUAACGGAGCAACGCCGGGGGGGUGAUGAAGGUUUUCGGUUCGUAAAACUCUUUUAUUAGGGAAAAACAAAUGUGUAAGUAAUUGUGCACCUUUUGACGGUCCCAAAAAAAAAAGCCCCGGCUAACUACGU
Molecule: ribosomal RNA, 496 nt
Filed under: uncultured bacterium
Lineage: Bacteria
Description: partial 16S ribosomal RNA
Rfam family: Bacterial small subunit ribosomal RNA
Source: RNAcentral